AAGGGCACCACAAGAACGCGUGGAGCAUGUGGCUUAAUUUGACUCAACGCGGGAAAUCUUACCGGGUCCGGACACACUGAGGAUUGACAGGCAAUAUUAAUAAUUUUAUAUUUCGCUUUCACUGCGAUUUCAAUAUUUUUAUUAUGUUAAAUAUGCUAGUCCUUUCAUGAUUAUGUGAUAGGUGGUGCAUGGCCGUUCUUAGUUCGUGGAGUGAUCUGUCUGCUUAAUUGCGUUUCACUAAGGGCCUAUAAAUUCACGUAUGUUGCGACACUUUGACCCCUCCUCUGUGUGCGUGCGUCUUUGUUUGUUUAGCUCAUACAAUUAGGUCCUGAAAGCAACGAACGUGACCGCAACCUCUUGUUGCUUUCGUAUAUAUGAAUAUAUAUUUUUUUAUUUUUUACUCACGUGAAAAAUAUAUUAUAUUAUCAUGUUAUACAUAAAAUAUAUUAUGUGUUCUCCUGAUGUUCUUACAUUACAUUGUUAUGCUGGUCACAUGAUAAGAUUUUUUCUUUUACAGAGAAAAUUUUGAUUGUGUUGUGUUGCGUGUAUGUUGUGCUUGGGGUCUCAAAUAUUUUUAUGCACAGAAAGCCUUUUAAACUAGAGGGACCGCUGUUACUUUCUUAAACCAGAGGAAGGUUGCGGCAAUAACAGGUCUGUGAUGCCCUUAGAUGUUCCGGGCUGCACACGUGCUACAAUGAUUAUUGCAGUGAGCAUCUCAUUUUWUUAUUCACACCGCAUGCGCGAGACCAUUUAUUCUCUCUUCGCGAGUGUUUUAAAUGUGUAUCUCUGCGCGCGGUAAAGCCUACUUCGAAAGUAAGCGGGUAAUCAAUUAGAAGUAAUGAUUUCCUAUAUUUUAUUUUUAUCACUCGUUGGUAUAAAAUAAUUCUGCACACAUAUAUACGGCAUCUUUACCCGGGUAGCCUUGUUGUUACUUUUUGUGCGUAUCGAUGUUUUUUUCCGUAUGUGCGAUUGUCAAUUCAUGGUGGGGACAGACCAUUGUUAAUUGUUGGUCUCGGUCUUAACUAGGAAUGCCUUGUACUGGUCUUUGGUUCAACAAACCACCAGGAAUACGUCCCUGCCCUUUGUACACACCGCCCGUCGCUCUUACCGAUGGACUUCUCUGUGAGUUUGAGGGACUGGGAACGCAUAUUUUUUUUUUCUUCACGAAAUAAAAAUACGCACACCUAUGGAAACUUAAACGAACAGUGUGGUCUAAAGGAAAGAGAAGUCGUAACAAGGCAUCA
This 1244-nucleotide ribosomal RNA is filed under the name Globobulimina affinis. RNAcentral's name for it is "SSU rRNA". It matches the Rfam family "Eukaryotic small subunit ribosomal RNA", at positions 1171 to 1824 of the family's 1831-position model. Lineage: Eukaryota; Foraminifera; Rotaliida; Buliminidae. The record is from RNAcentral.